GGAGGGAGAAAGAAGGAAGAUGGAGGAAGAGAAGGACGACCCAGAUCUGUGUGGCUUUAAAUGGACACAGAAUUUGUCAUUCAAUUUGAAAGCAUUGUGAUGAGGAAAUGUAGUCCAUAAAUUACUGAUAAGAACCUUCUCUACUUACGAUGUGGGAGUGCCAGUGGAAUUGCCUGGAGACUGAAUAGUGUACAAUAUAAUAAGGGAAGGACAAGAAAAUUCAACCACAGUAAAGUACAAAAGUUGUAAGUCAUGUGCGAAUACACAUUGAGAAGACACAUGGGAGGCUUCUGUGACAACAACUACCCAGAUCCUCACCCCCAUCCCCCCCAAAGCAACAGCCUAAAUAGGAAGCCAUUAAAGAGAAAUUUUAAAAAGUG
Long non-coding RNA from Rattus norvegicus (Norway rat), 380 nucleotides. RefSeq lists it as uncharacterized. NCBI's taxonomy places the organism in Eukaryota, Metazoa, Chordata, Mammalia, Rodentia, Muridae. The record is from RefSeq and is a predicted model, not a curated record.